GAUUUCAAUGAAAUUCUAAUGCCAAGUGAUAAGAAAGGUGGGAAUCCUCGACCAUGUGUGCUUCAAGAUUUUAGUGACUGAGUAUUUGUAUGUGGCCUCGACGGAGUUGAGUUUUGGGGAGAUCAUUUUACAUGGAGACGUGGUGAUAUCCAGGAGAGACUGGAUCAGACAGUAGGCAAUGAGGGAUGGUCAACAAAGUUUCCAUUGUCGGCGGUUGUUCACGAGCACCAUGUGCACUCUGAUCAUCAGCCACUGUUGUUGGAAACAGAGUAUUAUGAUGGAUCUCAGCUCAGAAAUCGUCCUGCAAAAAGCUUGAGGCCCGUUGCUUACGUGAAGAAACAUCGAACAAAAUCGUUAAUACGACGUGGGAAAAAACAAAGUUAG
Molecule: ribosomal RNA, 384 nt
Filed under: Triticum aestivum (bread wheat)
Lineage: Eukaryota; Viridiplantae; Streptophyta; Magnoliopsida; Poales; Poaceae
Description: partial small subunit ribosomal RNA
Source: RNAcentral